CGGACCUUGUUUUCCCCCUUCUCGACACCGCACGACCGCCGCACCACCAGAGGCCCUCUCCUCCCCAACGCAAGACCCCCGUCACACACACACACACACACACACAACUGAAGUCAGACAAGAACAGCGUAGCCAUCCGCUGGUGCGGAGCGGCCUGAGUAUUGUCGUUGAUACGGGCAAUGGUCUGUGUGCGCGUCGGCGUGCUUGUCUGUCUAUAUUGCUAGCUAAAGCACCCAUUGCUACCCAAGCUCCUCCGGGCCCCUCGCUGUCUGCGCGUGAGUCUGUCUUCUUCACUCUCUCCGCUCUGCGGCUUUCGACCGCCUCUCGUUUUCUUUUAAUCCUUGUUGACCGUAAUGCAGGCACCUUACGUUGCCGCAUAGAUUGCUAUUCUCCUCCUCCCUCUCUCAGAACGUGUGACUGGGCCGUCACCUCGAGCCCCUUGCGUGCUGUGUCUGUUAUUUGCUUUCUCGCGCGCUCUCGUCGCGUGAACGCGAGCUAUUCUCCCUUAGCUUUCAGCUCCCACCCCUUCUCUGGUUGAGGAGGCAACUUACAAUGGGCUCUGCUGCUGUUACACGGACGCAUGCGUCUCAAAGCCCUCGCGGCCACCACGGCAUGCGUUCACUGCCGCUGCUCUCCCUGGUGGUCCUUUCCGUGCUUCACGUCCUGUUGAUUCUCAUCGGGGUCACUCAUGCGGCUGUCGAGCGGCAGGGGGAGGGUGUUUUGCUAGGGCAGUGGGCCGACGCCACAUCCACCUAUUUCGGUACCACCGCCACGCCGUUCGUCUUAGAAAACGGCACAACGGUGUACUUGCCGGCCCCUCCGCUGCGGGUUUUGACGCUUGUCGAUUGGCAGAACCAACGGCACACCGAGUUUCUCAGCAGCUGGCCCAACCAGUCGUCAUUGACACUUUGGGCGAAUCGCAACACUGCCAUCUCCUACGCUUCACGCAUCAUCUCGUCUGAUCUAGUGUACCGCGCCGCAUGGUCGACCGGCCCGCUGCCUGCGAAGACGGCGAGCGGGAGCACCGUCGGCGACGCCGAGCUCAAGGUGGUCAGCGCUAUGGCGGCCGACCUGCUAGGAAUUGGUGAGCUAGACAUUGUCGUGCAGGCCAGUAACGGAUCCAUCUGGGUGCUCAAUCAUUCUUCCGUCGCCUCCACGUCGUCGUCCUCGUCCAAGUCGGCCUUUGAACCCAUCUUCGUCAUCAACGCUGACGCGGCUGCCGCCUCUGUCACCACCACAGUCACGGCGACAUCGGAUGUGUCGAUGCAGUUCAAGGUGCCCAAUGCUCCCCAACUUGCUGUGGUACCGGAUGUUCUAUGCGACCUGGCGAACCCGCACGCGGCGCAGACAGCCAUGGCCUUUGUGAAUGCAGACGAUCAGCUUGUCUUGCUUUCUCGCACCACGAAUGCGACCAUGGCGUCGACGGUGCAGUGGCCGCCACAUUACGUGGCGCGUGUGCUUGUGGACGAGCACAGCAACACCACGCAACGCGCUGUGUUGCCUUUGUCUGUUGCGCUGGCGGACGUGAACGAAGACUGCGCGGCAGAGCUACUGUACGCGGUGCGCGACACGCAGGAGCAUCGGUACGAAGUGCACAUGCUCAGUCAGAGUGGGCUGUCAGUGCCAGCCGCAUCAUCUCUGCUGCUGCUGCAGCUAGCCGAGGACGCCGGAGAGCGCUACGGCGAAACCUUCACGCUUGCCGACGUGAAUGGCGACGGCCUGCCGGAGCUGCUGCUCUCUGUUCAGCUCGCCAACGCUACCUCAUCCUGCACCGCGGCGGACACGGCAGACGUCCCGGAGCCGUGCACGCCGUAUCAUGCUAUCCGAGUUUUCUACCCGAUCCGCGCUUCGGGCGUGAGCGGUGCACCGUCGUGCGGGUUGUCUGCGUCGAGCGACGAGCGACACCUCACAUACACGUUUGCCCAGAGCGAGUUAUUGGCGUUGACGGCGGAGUGGUGCGGAGUGGCAGAUUGGAUCGAGGGUAAUCAGCCAACCGCGGGCGGCAGUUUCCCCUUGUACAUGCCGAGCUACCCAUCGGCGCCGCUGGUGCUCCGACCAGGUGACUACAACCGCGAUCGACUCGUGGACCUAAUCAUCCCCAGCUCCUUCGGGCCUCUGGUGCUGACCUCGCGCGCUGUUAGCGGCGCUCGGUCGAUGGUGUGCACACCACUCGACGCCAGCGCUGGAGUUUCAGCAGUGAAGCAGGCCACGAAAAACUCAAAACUCACCAGCUCCUCUACGGCGUACCGAGAGGCCUACCGCACUGCCACGCCGUUCUUCGGCACGCUGGCCCAGCUUGGACGGCUUGAAGUUGUUCUGACACACCAUAGACAGUACUCGAGCACUGUUACGUCGAGGACAGCUGUGGUGACGGCCGCUGAUUUUACCCGGAGCGCGAUGCAGGUGUACCAAAAUGGGGCGGUGCCGAGCCGAUCGUACUUUCUCUCAGCCUCGGCUAUCACAGCGGCAGCGCACGGUGCUGCGUGCGUCGGGGCCACACAUCACAUGACGUGGCAGGACAUCCACAUGCGCUCACAUUGGGCCACCGUGACCCAGCUUGAGCGAACACAAGGACACGCGCUGCUCCCUUCGCAGGUGCUGGUCGGCCUUGACGAGACCUUCUCUUACGUGCAUGACUACACCGUCGGACUUCGCGUGACGCAGCGCACCAGCGAUGUGGAGAGUACAUCGCAUGAGAACAAGUCGAGUAUGACGGAGCUCAUGCAAACGGUGCAGCGCAAGGAGUGGCCGUCGUACCUCGUCCCAAAUGCGGCGGUAUUUGCGCAGCUGACACCGAUAGACAAGCCGCACGAGUGGAGCUUGGAGAUGUACCUUCCUACGUCGACGUAUCGUGUGCUGCUGGUGACGGCGUUGGCUGUGGCUCUGGUUGCGAUUGGGCUGCCGGUUGUGUGGCUGCGCUGCGGAGAGAUGCGAAGGGACUACAACGAGUGGCGCACUCCGCUGUGACUCUGUGAGAGAAGUAUGUGAUGUUUGUGGUGGUGAGGUGUACGAGCGGUAUAAAAAACGGGACAGUGCCAUGUUGCAGCAGGACUCUCUGCCCCCCCCCCCCCCCCUUUCCCGCUGCGUGUGCUUCUGCUGGUGCGUGUCUGUCUCGCAUUUUUGUUUCUUCACACCCUUUUCUCGUGCACUGCACGCGUGCGCCAUCGUUGGGCCCUGCUGCAUCAAUGCUAGUAGUCCGUGUACAAGCCACCAAAGACACGCACUCCCCAAAUCCUCAGGAGGUGCUCAUUCCUCUCUCUUUUCGUUUCGGCACUCCCUCCGUCGUUGCCGGCAAGCCGCGCUGCCCUUGGCAGGAAGCUGCACCUGCCCAGAGCCUUGAAGUUGCCAGUCACCGGACGCUCCGCUUCCUGUUCUGCUCCGUGCUCCCCCUCUCCUUUUCUGAUCGUACCUGGUCUCUCGCUCUUCCAGCGUUUUCCGUAUCACGGCGGUACCAACGGCCCCUUCUCCCUGCUGCCGCUGCUCUCCGUCCGUCUCCUUCCCUCACUCUCAUUGCUGCCUUCUCUGCCGCCCCACUCCUUCGCACUUUUUCUUCAUACCACCCACCUCUCGCACACGUCCACGCCGUCCGCACACACUCUCUCCGUUUGGCGCCUCGCAAG
RNAcentral lists this unclassified non-coding RNA (3620 nucleotides) under Leishmania donovani. RNAcentral's name for it is "gene:LdHU3.28.3570(CDS-product:hypothetical_prote in_conserved)". The record is from RNAcentral. Lineage: Eukaryota; Euglenozoa; Kinetoplastea; Trypanosomatida; Trypanosomatidae.